AUGAGCUGCGGCGUGGGGCAGGGCGGGUGGCUGCUGGACUACGGCCUCGUGGAGGAGGAGAUCCAGGCCUCCGACUUCAUCUACAUGGUCGACGACCCGCCGGUCUCCAGCGUGAUACUGGGCUUCGACGCUCCCAGGAGGGAGGACGCCGCGGCGGCUGCCCAGGACAACUCCGGCGCCAAGAAAAGAUCCCGUCCAGAGUCGAGCGCGCAGCCCGGCACCAAGGCAUGCCGCGAGAAGCUCCGGCGAGACAGGCUCAACGAGAGGUUCAAUGAGCUCUGCGCCGUCUUGGAGCCCGGGAAGCCACCCAAGGCCGACAAGGUCGCCAUCCUCAGCGACGCCACCCGCCUCCUGGACCAGCUGCGCGCCGAGGCCCAGAAGCUCAAGGCCUCCAACGAGUCACUCCAGGACUCCAUCAAGAGCCUCAAGUCCGAGAAGUCGGAGCUGCGGGACGAGAAGACGCAGCUGAAGGCCGAGAGGGAGAGGCUGGAGCAGAUGCUCAAGGGCGUCAGCGCGGCCGCCGCCGCGCCGCGGCAGUUCGUCCCGCACCCGGCCGCCGCGGCCGCGCCGCAGUUCCACCCGGCGGCGGCGUACGCGCACGCCGGCAAGUUCGUCCCGGCGUACGCCGCGGGCUACCCGCCGCCGGCCGCGUUCUGGCAGUGGAUACCGCCGACGUCGCUGGACACGUCCAAGGACCCCGCGCACUGGCCGCCGGUCGCGUGA
RNAcentral lists this ribosomal RNA (723 nucleotides) under Triticum aestivum (bread wheat). Its description in RNAcentral is "partial small subunit ribosomal RNA". Lineage: Eukaryota; Viridiplantae; Streptophyta; Magnoliopsida; Poales; Poaceae. The record is from RNAcentral.